UACGAGGGGGGCGAGCGUUGUUCGGAAUUAUUGGGCGUAAAGGGUGCGUAGGCGGUUCCGCAAGUCCUGUGUGAAAUCUUCGGGCUCAACUCGAAGUCUGCACGGGAAACUGCGGGGCUUGAGUGUGGGAGAGGUGAGUGGAAUUCCCGGUGUAGCUGUGAAAUGCGUAGAUAUCGGGAGGAACACCUGUGGCGAAAGCGGCUCACUGGACCAUAACUGACGCUGAUGCACGAAAGCUGGGGGAGCAAACAGG
RNAcentral lists this ribosomal RNA (253 nucleotides) under uncultured bacterium. Its description in RNAcentral is "partial 16S ribosomal RNA". It matches the Rfam family "Bacterial small subunit ribosomal RNA", at positions 524 to 776 of the family's 1533-position model. The record is from RNAcentral.